CUUUCCUCUUUUCUUCCUUAGUUUUACCAAAAACAAAAUAAUGCCCAGACCCAGUCUUUUGAAUCUCUUUUGAUCACAAUUUAAUUUAUUUUUUAUUUGGGAUUUGAGAGGUUUUUUUUUUUUUAAAUUUUUGUUUCCAUUCUUAAAGUUUUGGAGAUAUAAAGAGAAAAACGGACCUUAGGGUUAAUUUGUGGUUAGAAAAUAAAGAGAUUUUCUUCUUCUUUUUGGUCCCAAAAUAAAGAGAUUGAUACUUCAAAAAAUAGAAAGAUUCUAAGCGUUUUUGUUUUUGAACUUUUCAUUUUGUUCCUUUUUUGCCGUUUUUACAGCUUUGAUUAUUCCCUUCUUCUUCCUUUAACCAGAAAUUUUUUGUUCUAUUGACUGCAGUACGUUGUUAAGUUGUGAAUUCCAUUGGAAAAUCUAUCUGGGUUUUCCUUAAAAUAUAAUUUCCAUUGAAUUCUAUACAUAAUUUUCCUUUAUAUAUCUGAGCCCAACUAGAAGAACCAUUUGAAGUAUUUUUUCUUUUUAAUUUUUGGUGAGUAUUUUUUUUUUGCUGUUUUAAGCUUUUAGGGUUUUGCAGCAUUUUUUAAAAAAGUAGGAGAUGGUGAGAGGCAAAAUUCAGAUUAAGCGAAUUGAAAAUGCAACGAGCCGGCAAGUCACCUUCUCUAAGCGACGAAAUGGGUUGUUGAAGAAGGCUUACGAACUAUAUGUUCUCUGCGAUGCUGAAGUAGCUGUCAUCAUAUUUUCUAAUAAAGGAAAACUCUAUGAGUUCUCAAGUUGCGACAACAUGCAAAACACCAUAGAACGAUAUCGCCAGUACAAGAAAGAUGUCCAAAGUAACACCCCUCAAAUUGAAAGAUACAGACAGCAACUAAGGCUUGAAGCAGAAAAUAUGGCCAAGAAGAUUGAGUUCCUUGAGGUUUCUAAAAGGAGAAUGUUGGGUCAAAAUCUUGGUUCUUGUUCUAUAGAUGAACUUCAAGAGGUUGAAAACCAGCUUGAACGCAGCUUAAGAAACAUUAGGGCAAGAAAGGGCUAUUUAUUCAAGGAGCAGAUACUGCAACUAAAAGCUAAGGUAUGAUAUGGCUAAACAAGUAUGCAACAGUUUCACUUCUCAAUGAGGAAAGAUAUAUGCAAGAGGAGAAUGCCAAGUUAUCUGCUAAGAACAAUGGUACAACAUGCAGCCAGCAGAACGCGGAGGUGGAGACAGAACUGUUCCUCGGGUUGCCGGAAAACCGCUGUUCCUAACAGGCAGGUCUUUGGAUAUGGAAUGAAAAUGGUAUUCCCUAUAGGAAUAAUGCUUGCUUGUACGCUAUCGCCAUUGCUACUGGUUGUGUCACUUGGAUGUAUGUAUGUAUAUAUAUAUAUAUAUAUAUAUAUCCUCGACGCUCACCCAGAAACUGGACAUCAGUGCAUGGGACAAAGCUCGAUGGGGGAAAACAGAUCUUAAUUCAAUGUCGGUUUUUUGCUGAUUACUCA
Molecule: RNA transcript, 1473 nt
Organism: Gossypium raimondii (Peruvian cotton)
Lineage: Eukaryota; Viridiplantae; Streptophyta; Magnoliopsida; Malvales; Malvaceae
Gene name: MADS-box protein SOC1
Exons: 7
Source: RefSeq, a predicted model, not a curated record